CCUACGGGUGGCAGCAGUGGGGAAUUUUGGACAAUGGGCGCAAGCCUGAUCCAGCUAUUCCGCGUGUGGGAAGACGGCCUUCGGGUUGUAAACCACUUUUGUAGAGAACGAAAAGUCUAUUGAUAAUACCGAUAGAUGAUGACGGUACUCUAAGAAUAAGCAUCGGCUAAAUACGUGCCAGCCGCCGCGGUAAUACGUAGGGUGCGAGCGUUAAUGGGAAUUAUUUGGCGUAAAGGGUGUGCAGGCGGUUUUGCAAGAUGGAUGUGAAAGCCCCGGUCUUAACCUGGGAAAGCCAUACAUGACUGGAAGGAUAGAGUGCGUCAGAGGGGGGUGGAAUUCCAAGUGUAGCAGUGAAAUGCGUAGAUAUUUGGAAGAACACCGAUGGCGAAGGCAGCCCCCUGGGACGCAACUGACGCUCAUACACGAAAGCGUGGGGAGCGAACAGGAUUAGAUACCCGAGUAGUC
Molecule: ribosomal RNA, 465 nt
Filed under: uncultured bacterium
Lineage: Bacteria
Description: partial 16S ribosomal RNA
Rfam family: Bacterial small subunit ribosomal RNA
Source: RNAcentral